GGCUGGUCCGAGUACAAUGGUGUUUACAACUAAUUGAUCGCAACCAGUUACAGAUUUCUUUGUUCCUUCUUCACUUGGCUAGCCUUAA
Unclassified non-coding RNA from Prolemur simus (greater bamboo lemur), 88 nucleotides. It matches the Rfam family "Y RNA". Rfam says of the family: Y RNAs are components of the Ro ribonucleoprotein particle (Ro RNP), in association with Ro60 and La proteins. The Y RNAs and Ro60 and La proteins are well conserved, but the function of the Ro RNP is not known. The record is from Ensembl. NCBI's taxonomy places the organism in Eukaryota, Metazoa, Chordata, Mammalia, Primates, Lemuridae.